GAAAUGCGAUAAGUAAUGUGAAUUGCAGAAUUCAGUGAAUCAUCGAAUCUUUGAACGCACAUUGCGCCCGCCAGCACUCUGGCGGGCAUGCCUGUUCGAGCGUCAUUUCAACCCUCAGAACCCCUUGCGGGAUCCGGCGUUGGGGAUUGGCAUCCAGCCAGCCCCGAAAUCUAGUGGCGGUCCCUCCGCGACCUCCCCUGUGCAGUAGCGAUACCUCGCAGCGGGACAGCGGUCUGACCACGCCGUAAAACCCCCAACUUCUCAAGUUUGACCUCGAAUCAGGUAGGAAUACCCGCUGAACUUAAGC
Molecule: unclassified non-coding RNA, 307 nt
Filed under: plant metagenome
Description: partial contains 5.8S ribosomal RNA, internal transcribed spacer 2, and large subunit ribosomal RNA
Rfam family: 5.8S ribosomal RNA (bases 1-105)
Source: RNAcentral